Molecule: long non-coding RNA, 1042 nt
Filed under: Nicotiana tabacum (common tobacco)
Lineage: Eukaryota; Viridiplantae; Streptophyta; Magnoliopsida; Solanales; Solanaceae
Description: long non-coding RNA (NTAB_LNC004986)
Source: RNAcentral
CUGAAACUAAUUACUACUACGCGUCAUUUGUUUUUGAGGUAAUGAAUUACUCAUACUUAUUCUAAUGAAAUCAACUAGAGAAGAAGGAAUUCCUAUUACUAUAACAAUAAAAGAUACCAAAUACAGCCAAAUAAAAUAAUUUGCGACACAAUUUGCAAUGAAGGAACCAAUUUAAAAGUGAAUACGAGAUUAACAUAAUCAAAUAAAACUCAAUUUACAAACAAACAUGUGGAUAAACACCAGCUAGCAUGACAAAGGAUUUAACUUUAAGGGAACAUAAUCUCUAUCUUCUAAAAAAAAAGACCUAAGCUUAAGAUAAGUGAAAAAGGCUUUUCACACAGCACAAGCAAAUCAAGAAUAAGAAUAGCUGGCAAAAGACAAAAAUCCAAACUGAAACAAGAAUGUAAAAGACAUUGAAACAAUAGAUGAAAUAAAGGAAUGGACCUUCUUUCUUUAAUAAAAAUGAUUCGUUGGCAGACUUUUACAACGUCAAUUAUUUGAUGCGCACAAUGACCGUAACCGACGCUGGAUACAUCAACAAACCUUGUCGUCAACUCGACUUCAAACUGGAAUCAACCUCGGCAAACUCGAAUUGGAAGUUUCUCCCACUUCUGCUGUAUUUCUCGACCAGUCACGAUAGCAGCAGAUAUGAGAGGGUGGUCGUUUGGACGUGAGGAAGGUGAUGACGUAAAGAGGGUAGUCGUUUGAACGUGAGGAAGGUGAUGACGUAAAAGGGGGUAGUCGUUUGGACGUGAGGAAGGUGAUGGCGCAGCAACGAUGGCUGUUUUGGUGGAGCUGGAGCUCGCUGGCUGGAGGAUAGGGUGAAAAGUUCGUUGUUUUCUGGUUUGAGAAGAAAGAAAGAAGGAGAUACUUUGGGGAGGGGGUGUUCUGCCCGUGUAUAUCCGCGAUAUAUCGGUUGUAUAUCGAAGGUAUACCUUGUCCGCGUUUUUGGGAGGGGGGGUGUUCUUUUGCCAGAAAAUGGGUAGUGGUUGAGUGGUUUGAAGAAGAUUAAGAGAGGAGAGGGGGCUGGUGUCUAAGGUCU